CGACGAGUUCUCGUUGAUGAUCGGUGCUUGCACCGAGAUUCAACAUGGAACGAGUGGCGGACGGGUGAGUAACACGUGGGUAACCUGCCCUUAAGUGGGGGAUAACAUUUGGAAACAGAUGCUAAUACCGCAUAGAUCCAAGAACCGCAUGGUUCUUGGCUGAAAGAUGGCGUAAGCUAUCGCUUUUGGAUGGACCCGCGGCGUAUUAGCUAGUUGGUGAGGUAAUGGCUCACCAAGGCGAUGAUACGUAGCCGAACUGAGAGGUUGAUCGGCCACAUUGGGACUGAGACACGGCCCAAACUCCUACGGGAGGCAGCAGUAGGGAAUCUUCCACAAUGGACGCAAGUCUGAUGGAGCAACGCCGCGUGAGUGAAGAAGGCUUUCGGG
Molecule: ribosomal RNA, 387 nt
Filed under: Lacticaseibacillus paracasei
Lineage: Bacteria; Bacillati; Bacillota; Bacilli; Lactobacillales; Lactobacillaceae
Description: bacterial SSU rRNA
Rfam family: Bacterial small subunit ribosomal RNA
Source: RNAcentral